Molecule: ribosomal RNA, 405 nt
Filed under: bacterium
Lineage: Bacteria
Description: partial 16S ribosomal RNA
Rfam family: Bacterial small subunit ribosomal RNA
Source: RNAcentral
UAAGGAAUAUUGCGCAAUGGGGGAAACCCUGACGCAGCAACGCCGCGUGGAGGAUGACACUUUUCGGAGCGUAAACUCCUUUUAUCAGGAAAGAAUAAUGACGGUACCUGAUGAAUAAGUACCGGCUAACUCCGUGCCAGCAGCCGCGGUAAUACGGGGGGUGCAAGCGUUACUCGGAAUCACUGGGCGUAAAGGACGCGUAGGCGGAUUAUCAAGUCUUUUGUGAAAUCUAGUGGCUUAACCACUAAACUGCUUAGGAAACUGAUAGUCUAGAGUAGGGGGGAGGUAGAUGGAAUUCUUGGUGUAGGGGUAAAAUCCGUAGAGAUCAAGAAGAAUACCCAUUGCGAAAGCGAUCUGCUGGAACCUAACUGACGCUGAGGCGUGAAAGCGUGGGUAGCAAACAGG